GGCGGCGUGCUUAACACAUGCAAGUCGAGCGGAAAGGCCCUUCGGGGUACUCGAGCGGCGAACGGGUGAGUAACACGUGAGCAACCUGCCCCAGGCUUUGGGAUAACCCCGGGAAACCGGGGCUAAUACCGAAUAUGACCUCCGAUCGCAUGGUUGGUGGUGGAAAGUUUUUCGGCUUGGGAUGGGCUCGCGGCCUAUCAGCUUGUUGGUGGGGUGAUGGCCUACCAAGGCGACGACGGGUAGCCGGCCUGAGAGGGCGACCGGCCACACUGGGACUGAGACACGGCCCAGACUCCUACGGGAGGCAGCAGUGGGGAAUAUUGCACAAUGGGCGGAAGCCUGAUGCAGCGACGCCGCGUGAGGGAUGACGGCCUUCGGGUUGUAAACCUCUUUCAGCAGGGACGAAGCGUAAGUGACGGUACCUGCAGAAGAAGCGCCGGCCAACUACGUGCCAGCAGCCGCGGUAAGACGUAGGGCGCGAGCGUUGUCCGGAUUUAUUGGGCGUAAAGAGCUCGUAGGCGGCUUGUCGCGUCGACUGUGAAAACCCGCAGCUCAACUGCGGGCCUGCAGUCGAUACGGGCAGGCUAGAGUUCGGUAGGGGAGACUGGAAUUCCUGGUGUAGCGGUGAAAUGCGCAGAUAUCAGGAGGAACACCGGUGGCGAAGGCGGGUCUCUGGGCCGAUACUGACGCUGAGGAGCGAAAGCGUGGGGAGCGAACAGGAUUAGAUACCCUGGUAGUCCACGCUGUAAACGUUGCGCGCUAGGUGUGGGGGGCCUCUCCGGUUCCCUGUGCCGCAGCUAACGCAUUAAGCGCCCCGCCUGGGGAGUACGGCCGC
This 835-nucleotide ribosomal RNA is filed under the name Micromonospora sp. IM-7442. Its description in RNAcentral is "bacterial SSU rRNA". It matches the Rfam family "Bacterial small subunit ribosomal RNA", at positions 38 to 889 of the family's 1533-position model. The record is from RNAcentral. Lineage: Bacteria; Bacillati; Actinomycetota; Actinomycetes; Micromonosporales; Micromonosporaceae.